CUGUAUAUCCUGGGAGACUGCUCAAGGUUAACCUCCAAAUCAAUGAUUCCAUUUGCUACACUGUCAAUUUUGCUUCUUUCCACCCCCACGAUGGGUUUUAAUUCUUGGGUUGCCAUCCAGUCUUAUCUCAUCUCUCUUUUCCCAUCCUCCCAACUUUUCAUCUGAGUCUUUUUUCUGUGUGUGGUUUUCUAUAAUUUAUAGACCAUGUCUUCUUACAAUCAAAGAUUCUUUAAGUUUUCCUUUUGUUUUCUGUAGGAAAACUGUUUUAGAGAUCUGCUCCUUUUCGGAGUCAUUUCCAUUCAUUUCCACUCAAUUGAGGGACUAUCUGGGAAACUAAUGAUGCCCUUGGAAUAUUUACCAAGUACAUGGCAAUUAACAAAUAUGUCAACAUAUGAAUUUCUGCUGUUCUCAUAUAAGUCAACUCCUUUACACUGGAAGGAGAAAGGUGAGUUUUUGUUUUCUAAGGUCUUAAUUCUCUUACGUCCACUGAGGUGCAAACAGCCCCUUCAUGCUGAAGGAGCCUUCUCAGAAAUUGCCUCCAUAUAAGCCUUUGUUUGGGAAUUCUGGGACCUUCCAGGAAGGGUGCAGAAUUUUUCAAGAAUGGGGGAGAACUGAAGAUGGGGUAGGAAAAAUGGUGGAAUGAGACGAACAUCAUUACCCUAGGUACAUAUAUGACUGUGUAUGUGGUACAACUCUACAUCAUGUACAACCAGAGAAAUGAAGAGUUGUGCUCCAUUUGUGUACAAUGAAUCGAAAUGCAUUCUGCUGUCAUGUAUAACUAAUUAGAACAAAUUAAAAUAAAAAAAUGAACGGGGAGAAUAG
This 822-nucleotide long non-coding RNA is filed under the name Marmota monax (woodchuck). The record is from RNAcentral. Lineage: Eukaryota; Metazoa; Chordata; Mammalia; Rodentia; Sciuridae.